GGUAGCGACACCGGCCACCGAAAUAUAAACUGCAGUAGAGUUGGGUCGAAACCGAAACUAUAUGCCGCAGUCGUAUACUUGUCUGAUCCAAAGCCACAGCCAAUCCAAAGUCCAAUCCAAAGCCACAAGCAGCUUCUGGAGUCUGGAUUCUUUUCCGUCCCGUCCGUGCAGACAAAGGCCUGUUUGAACCUUCAACGUGCGUGGGUCAAAUGAUUGUUCAGGAAGUCUGUAUGAUGACGAAAAAACUGCAGGUGACUAGAAGCUGCCGAUGAGCUGCCAGUCCGGAUGGCAGCUAUCAACACGGCAAGGACCUGCAGGCGCAUCAGCUCUCCUCCCGUUCCUCUACUGCCAUUGGAGACAGGAUGCUUUGUAAAAGUGGGAGCUCAGGAAGGUGGCACUGUGCACAGAGGGACAGAGUGGCUGACACUGAGCUGCCCAAGACAACCUGCUGGCUCUCGUGACCAUCUCCGAAUGCCUCUGGAUGGGCUAAUUGACAGGCGUGCCUGGACAUUUAUAAACGGCUGCUCUUAUAUGCACCAUGAAGAUAUCGAAGAGGUCUCCAAUUGAAGGACAACUAUAA
This 580-nucleotide long non-coding RNA is filed under the name Ixodes scapularis (black-legged tick). RNAcentral describes it as "uncharacterized LOC121045629, transcript variant X3". The record is from RNAcentral. Lineage: Eukaryota; Metazoa; Arthropoda; Arachnida; Ixodida; Ixodidae.